AAUUAACCCUGUAACCAUCCAGAAUUAACCCUGUAACCAUCCAGAAUUAACCCUGUAACCAUCCAGAAUUAACCCUGUAACCAAACAGAAUUAACCAUGUAACCAAACAGAAUUAACCCUGUUACCACGUCGAAUUAACCCUGUAAUGAAUUAACCAUACAGAAUUAACCAUGUAACCAAACAGAAUUAACCCUGUGACCACGUGGAAUUAACCCUGUAAUGAAUUAACCAUGCAGAAUUAACCUUGUAACUACGCGGAAUUAAUGCGUAAAGAAUCAACAUUAAUCCAUAAUACGUCAAAUUCCGAGGUGAAACUAUGAGGUUGGCUGGAGAUAAUGAACAUGAAGUUGGCUGGAGAUAAUGAACAUGAAGUUGGCUGGAGAUAAUGAACAUGAAGUUGGCUGGAGAUAAUGAACAUGAAGUUGGCUGGAGAUAAUGAACAUGAAGUUGGCUGGAGAUAAUGAACAUGAAGUUGGCUGGAGAUAAUGAGAAUGAAGUUGGCUGGAGAUAAUGAACAUGAAUUGGCUGGAGAUAAUGAACAUGAAGUUGGCUGGAGAUAAUGAGAAUGAAGUUGGCUGGAGAUAAUGAACAUGAGGUUGGCUGGAGAUAAUGAACAUGAGGUUGGCUGGAGAUAAUAAACAUGAGCUUGGCUGGAGAUAAUAAACAUGAGCUUGGCUGGAGAUAAUGAGAUAAUGAACAUGAAGUUGGCUGGAGAUAAUGAACAUGAGGUUGGCUGGAGAUAAUGAACAUGAAGUUGGCUGGAGAUAAUAAACAUGAGCUUGGCUGGAGAUAAUGAGAUAAUGAACAUGAAGUUGGCUGGAGAUAAUGAACAUGAGGUUGGCUGGAGAUAAUGAGAUAAUGAACAUGAGGUUGGCUGGAGAUAAUGAACAUGAAGUUGGCUGGAGAUAAUGAAAAUGAAGUUGGCUGGAGAUAAUGAACAUGAGGUUGGCUGGAGAUAAUGAACAUGAGGUUGGCUGGAGAUAAUAAACAUGAGCUUGGCUGGAGAUAAUGAGAUAAUGAACAUGAAGUUGGCUGGAGAUAAUGAACAUGAGGUUGGCUGGAGAUAAUGAACAUGAAGUUGGCUGGAGAUAAUAAACAUGAGCUUGGCUGGAGAUAAUGAGAUAAUGAACAUGAGGUUGGCUGGAGAUAAUGAACAUGAGGUUGGCUGGAGAUAAUGAGAUAAUGAACAUGAGGUUGAAAAGUGGAGUGGCUCUUUAAGAGAUAUUUAUCUUCCUAUUUGUUGUACAUUUGAUGUAUUUGAAUGUUUUAUGUAAUGCUGAAAUAGUGUAUUUAAUCUAAUUAACGUAUUAUUCUUUUAGUAUCACAAAAAAGUUGUUAAUCAUAUUUUUGAAGUGAAAUUAUUCUAUUUUUUUAUAUCAUUUUGUAUAUGUCUGCACUUUAGUCAUUAAAAUAAAAUGAUUGAAUGAAAUAUUA
This is a non-coding RNA of Salmo salar (Atlantic salmon), 1434 nucleotides long. The record is from RefSeq and is a predicted model, not a curated record. NCBI's taxonomy places the organism in Eukaryota, Metazoa, Chordata, Actinopteri, Salmoniformes, Salmonidae.